AAUAAUAUAAUUUAAUUUUAUUAAUAUUAAUUAAAUAUUUAUUUAUAAUUUUAUUAAAAAAUUUAUUAAGUGAAAUUUUAAAUUUUUUGAAAAAAUUAUAUUUUUAAAUUGAAAUUAAAAAUUUAGUUUUUAAACUAGGAUUAGAUACCCUAUUAUUUUAAAUGUAAAAUUUUUAUUUAAUUAUUAUUAGUUAUGGUCUUUAAAAUUAAAAAAUUUGGCGGUAUUUUAAUCUUUUUAGAGGAACCUGUUCUUUAAAUGAUAAUCCACGAUUUUAUUAACUUUUAUUAUUAAUUUGUAUAUCGUCGUAUUUAAAUAUUUUUUUAGAAUAAUAUUUAUAAUUUUUAUAAAAAAAUUAAUCAGAUCAAGGUGCAGUUUAUAUAGAAGUAGAAAUGGGUUACAAUAAAUAUAUAUUUGGAUAUUUAAUAUUAGUAUUAAAUUGAAAAUGGAUUUAAAUGUAAUUUUAAUUAAUUAGUUUUAAUGAUUUUAGUUCUAAAAU
Molecule: ribosomal RNA, 496 nt
Filed under: Paranapiacaba teuntieri
Lineage: Eukaryota; Metazoa; Arthropoda; Insecta; Coleoptera; Chrysomelidae
Description: partial 12S ribosomal RNA
Source: RNAcentral